Molecule: long non-coding RNA, 234 nt
Filed under: Dasypus novemcinctus (nine-banded armadillo)
Lineage: Eukaryota; Metazoa; Chordata; Mammalia; Cingulata; Dasypodidae
Description: lncRNA (ENSDNOG00000050622.1)
Source: RNAcentral
CAUUUGAGAAGCUGGUGAUUGGAAUUCCACACAUGAUCUUUCAUUGUCCAUGUGUCUUAUUAGUUUAGCAUUCUCAGGAGGAUAGGUUCACUUCCCUUAGGUUACGGGCCCUAGUAUACACUCCACACCAAAACAUACUUGGAACAAGAGGAGCUCUGUGGUAAGUCAUAAACAACCAGCUGAUUGAUUGGUUCUUGGAAUUUAAAUAUCUAAGCAUUCAUUUUAAUUAAGCAC